AAAAAAAAAAUUAGCACUAGCACCAGCACAAGCAACACUAACAACAACAAUAGCGAAGUUUUCUCCUUUGCUUUGAAUCCACAUUAUUUACCAGGUUAUGACUCAAGAUUUUUUUUUCUUUUUUGGCUUUUUAUAUAUGGGUCACCGAUGAAUCUUUCUCCCUUUCUUUUAAUUCCCUUCAGAUUGUCAAAAUGGUUUGAUUUGGGUCUCUACCAUCUCCUCAUCACGCCACUAUAGCAGGCAUCCUUCUUGUGACUUCCAACUGAAGAAAUUUCCUCAGUGGUAAUGGACAAGAGAAUGGGAAGGAGACGGAUAAGAGAAUGAUGAUGGAGAUGAGAUAAGUAAACUGAUUAUUGUGCUUUGGUAAAAUAGUGGUGUUUUAAGUUGUUGAUAUCUUGAAAAUUGAGGUAAGCCUAGGGUUUAAUUUGGUUGGGAGAAAUUGACAUCAGUUACAGUUGAAGGAAGAUUUAGAAGAGAAGGCCAGCAAAAAGGAUGUAAAUAGACUUAAAUAAAAAAAAAUUAUUUGGCUUAAUUUAAU
Molecule: unclassified non-coding RNA, 538 nt
Filed under: Hevea brasiliensis (rubber tree)
Lineage: Eukaryota; Viridiplantae; Streptophyta; Magnoliopsida; Malpighiales; Euphorbiaceae
Source: RNAcentral